RNAcentral lists this ribosomal RNA (253 nucleotides) under uncultured bacterium. RNAcentral's name for it is "partial 16S ribosomal RNA". It matches the Rfam family "Bacterial small subunit ribosomal RNA", at positions 524 to 776 of the family's 1533-position model. The record is from RNAcentral.
UACGAAGGGGGCUAGCGUUGCUCGGAAUCACUGGGCGUAAAGGGCUCGUAGGCGGCCAACUAAGUCAGACGUGAAAUCCCUCGGCUUAACCGGGGAACUGCGUCUGAUACUGGAUGGCUUGAGAUUGGGAGAGGGAUGCGGAAUUCCAGGUGUAGCGGUGAAAUGCGUAGAUAUCUGGAGGAACACCGGUGGCGAAGGCGGCAUCCUGGACCAACACUGACGCUGAUGAGCGAAAGCCAGGGGAGCAAACGGG